RNAcentral lists this small RNA (77 nucleotides) under Aeromonas hydrophila. RNAcentral describes it as "isrK". It matches the Rfam family "isrK Hfq binding RNA". The record is from RNAcentral. Lineage: Bacteria; Pseudomonadati; Pseudomonadota; Gammaproteobacteria; Aeromonadales; Aeromonadaceae.
GCAGCGGCAAAAUCCGCUGCCGGGAUUGGCGUCUCGAUAAUCAGAAAGGAGCCGACCCACGCUCUUGCGUGGUUUUU